GUCACGGUCAAUCCCGUGGCCGGGUUUGGCGACCCGAACUAUCCAAGGCGCACAAGCGCCGCACCGCAGACAGCUGGCGCUUUUUUU
RNAcentral lists this small RNA (87 nucleotides) under Pseudomonas sp. BRH_c35. Its description in RNAcentral is "isrK". It matches the Rfam family "isrK Hfq binding RNA". Lineage: Bacteria; Pseudomonadati; Pseudomonadota; Gammaproteobacteria; Pseudomonadales; Pseudomonadaceae. The record is from RNAcentral.